CAGGGUAACAAGAUUAGGAAGGGCUGCAGCAAAACUCACAAUUUAAUUAUUUGAGAAUAUGACCUUCAACAGACAUGUGCAAAAAGGACAGACCUCUGGGAGGUCCUAGGUCAAGCUAGAGCCACCAUUGGCACAUGUGAGACACAGGAAGUGAGGUAGAGAACAGCCUCUGGAGUUCUCAUGACUUCCUAUGAGGAGGGCGAGAGGCAGUUGGAGGUUGGUGCUUGGAGUUGGAGGAGCCUGCAGACUGCUUUUCUCCAGAUUGGUCACUGAGAUUCAACGGGAUAGAGUUUGGAGCUCACAGCCAAGAUUGAAGAGCCCUCAUUCUCCAUUAUUUCAUUUGAUCUUCACAACACCAGGAGAUAAGUACUGCAGAUAAUGAUAUCCUCCUUUUAUAGAUGGGAACACUGAGCCCCAGAGAGGCUAAGUGGUAGUGUACAAAAUAGAAUUUGAACUCCAGUCUUCCUGAUUCCAAGGCCAGUGCACCAUCUGCUCUGAAA
RNAcentral lists this long non-coding RNA (500 nucleotides) under Monodelphis domestica (gray short-tailed opossum). Its description in RNAcentral is "lncRNA (ENSMODG00000031401.2)". The record is from RNAcentral. Lineage: Eukaryota; Metazoa; Chordata; Mammalia; Didelphimorphia; Didelphidae.